This 83-nucleotide small nuclear RNA is filed under the name Vulpes vulpes (red fox). RNAcentral's name for it is "U4 spliceosomal RNA (ENSVVUG00000016897.1)". It matches the Rfam family "U4 spliceosomal RNA", at positions 1 to 82 of the family's 138-position model. From Rfam's summary of the family: U4 small nuclear RNA (U4 snRNA) is a component of the major U2-dependent spliceosome. The structure of U4 snRNA from yeast and human has been reported. U4 snRNA presents a k-turn RNA motif in the 5p-SL related to recognition of Snu13 protein. The record is from RNAcentral. Lineage: Eukaryota; Metazoa; Chordata; Mammalia; Carnivora; Canidae.
AGCUUUGCACAGUGACAGUAUAGUAGCCAAUGAGGUUUAUCCAAGGUGCAAUUAUUGCUAAUUAAAAACUUUUCCUAAUUGUG